AUUACCUUAAGGUAUUCAUUUAUCUUCCCCGCCCCGGCCAAAGAUGUUGCCCGGAGAGGUUGUGCAGUCUUCAUCCUUGGAGGUUUUCAAGACCCACCAGCACACAGCCCUGAGUAGCCCGGUCUGGUCCCAGAGCUGGCCCUGCUUUGGGCAGGAGGUUGGGCUGGAGCCCUCCCGGGGGCCUUUCCUGCCUGCGUGACUCCGUGGUUGAGCUUUACCGGACAGCGCUUGUGGGAAUACGCAUCCUUUCUCCUUCCUGAAUUAUUAAAAUGCAUCUUUCAAGUUCAAUGACACUUCAGAACUGUGACAUAAAUUAUGGAACAAGGGCAGAAGAGACUUCCUUUGCCUUAGCUGUAAGGGCCUGGUCCGGCAGAGAGCACCUUCCUCUGACCCCUUUGGAUGUGGCUGCUGUUAGAGGCUCUCUUACAGGCCCCUGGAGCGGUGGAGGUGGAAGAGGAACGUGAUACACCCACGGGGGCUUGGCACACUUCUGUUUUGACUAGAGGCAGACUACUCCUGCUCCAGCUUAGGCGAUGGGAGACACUGUCCCAGAAUAACAUUUCCCGCCAAAGAAAAGGCCACUUGUUUAUUGACUAG
RNAcentral lists this long non-coding RNA (597 nucleotides) under Struthio camelus australis. Its description in RNAcentral is "lncRNA (ENSSCUG00000004298.1)". Lineage: Eukaryota; Metazoa; Chordata; Aves; Struthioniformes; Struthionidae. The record is from RNAcentral.